Molecule: long non-coding RNA, 327 nt
Filed under: Callithrix jacchus (white-tufted-ear marmoset)
Lineage: Eukaryota; Metazoa; Chordata; Mammalia; Primates; Cebidae
Description: lncRNA (ENSCJAG00000063409.2)
Source: RNAcentral
GCCCCUGGCAUUGGCUGAUCCAAGAGGAUAAGAGAUUUGUGGAGCAGACCUAGACCCAACCAGGAGCCUGGAGCCAAGACCAGCAGAGCCCAGCUGCCACAAUUGACCUGCAGUACUGCUGCUCCAGGCUGGCAUGUGGGAAUUCUCUCCUAACUCUUCAAGUUUUGCCAGCAUAGUGAAGCCGGCAUCUUCUCUAAUCUGAGACCCCCUGCUCCUUCAGGACCUGCCCCACUGGGGACAAGAAUGAACACGCUGUGUUGUAUGACAGUGAACCACCAAGAAAUACAAAGAAUGUGUGUUGAGGAGCCCAGAGUUAACACUGCAUAG